Molecule: unclassified non-coding RNA, 24 nt
Filed under: Mus musculus (house mouse)
Lineage: Eukaryota; Metazoa; Chordata; Mammalia; Rodentia; Muridae
Description: oocyte_clustered_small_RNA6153
Source: RNAcentral
UUCUGGUGGGUCAUGAGGUGGGCA